RNAcentral lists this ribosomal RNA (202 nucleotides) under uncultured bacterium. RNAcentral describes it as "partial 16S ribosomal RNA". It matches the Rfam family "Bacterial small subunit ribosomal RNA", at positions 524 to 723 of the family's 1533-position model. The record is from RNAcentral.
UACGUAGGAGGCAAGCGUUGUCCGGAAUCACUGGGCGUAAAGCGCCGUGUAGGUGGAAGAGGAAGUCUGCUGUGAAAGCGCCUGGCUUAACCGGGCGAGGUCGGUGGAAACUCCUCAUCUAGAGGUCGGUAGAGGGGGGGUGGAAUUCCGGGUGUAGUGGUGAAAUGCGUAGAGAUCCGGAGGAACACCUGUGGCGAAGGCG